UACGUAGGGUGCAAGCGUUAAUCGGAAUUACUGGGCGUAAAGCGCGCGUAGGCGGGUCGUUAAGUGGGAAGUGAAAGGCUGGGGCUCAACCCCAUGCAGUGCUUCUCAUACUGGCGGUCUUGAGUGAGGUAGGGAGAAGUGGAAUGGCUGGUGUAGCGGUGAAAUGCGUAGAUAUCAAGUGGAACACCAGUGGCGAAGGCGAGUCCCUGGACAUUUCCUGACACUGAGGCACGAAAGCUAGGGGAGCAAACAGG
This 254-nucleotide ribosomal RNA is filed under the name uncultured bacterium. RNAcentral describes it as "partial 16S ribosomal RNA". It matches the Rfam family "Bacterial small subunit ribosomal RNA", at positions 524 to 776 of the family's 1533-position model. The record is from RNAcentral.